RNAcentral lists this ribosomal RNA (253 nucleotides) under uncultured bacterium. RNAcentral's name for it is "partial 16S ribosomal RNA". It matches the Rfam family "Bacterial small subunit ribosomal RNA", at positions 524 to 776 of the family's 1533-position model. The record is from RNAcentral.
UACGAAGGGUGCAAGCGUUACUCGGAAUUACUGGGCGUAAAGCGUGCGUAGGUGGUUCGUUAAGUCUGAUGUGAAAGCCCUGGGCUCAACCUGGGAAUUGCAUUGGAUACUGGCAGGCUAGAGUGCGGUAGAGGAUGGCGGAAUUCCCGGUGUAGCGGUGAAAUGCGCAGAUAUCAGGAGGAACACCUGUGGCGAAAGCGGCUCACUGGACCACAACUGACGCUGAUGCGCGAAAGCUAGGGGAGCAAACAGG